GAUGAAGAACGCAGCGAAAUGCGAUAAGUAAUGUGAAUUGCAGAAUUCAGUGAAUCAUCGAAUCUUUGAACGCACCUUGCGCCCUUUGGCUAUUCCGAAGGGCAUGCCUGUUUGAGUAUCAUGAACACCUCAACUCUCAUGGCUUGCCAUGAUGAGCUUGGACUAUGGGGGUCUUGCUGGCCUGUGGUCGGCUCCUCUCAAAUGAAUCAGCUUGCCAGUGUUUGGUGGCAUCACAGGUGUGAUAACUAUCUACGCUUGUGGUUUUCCACCAGGUAACCUUCAGCAAUGGAGGUUCGCUGGGGCUCAUAAAUGUCUCUCCUCAGCGAGGACAGCUCUUUGAACGUUUGAUCUCAAAUCAGGUAGGACUACCCGCUGAACUUAAGCAUAUCAAUAAGCGGAGGA
This 402-nucleotide unclassified non-coding RNA is filed under the name soil metagenome. Its description in RNAcentral is "partial contains 5.8S ribosomal RNA, internal transcribed spacer 2, and large subunit ribosomal RNA". The stretch from base 1 to 121 matches the Rfam family "5.8S ribosomal RNA", at positions 35 to 154 of the family's 154-position model. The record is from RNAcentral.